GAAACGAACAGGCUUAAAUACCGGAUAGGAGCCCACGCUGCAAACGGUGGGGACUAGAUGUGAAGUCCAUUCCACGGGUUCCGCGACGGAGCUAACGCCUUAAGCACCCCGCCGGGGGAGUACGGCCGCAAGGCCAAAACUCAAACGAAUAGACGGGGCCCCGAAAAAGCGACCGACCACAUGCGGACUAAUUCGAUACAACCCGUAGAACCCUACCUGGGAUUGACAGCAAUCGGGAAUACUCAAAAAUGGGCGGAACCCUGAUGCAGCAACGCCACAGGCGGGGCAUGACGGCCGUCAGCUCGUGUCGUAAAACGCUGGGUUAAGUCCCGCAACGAAGCGCAACCCACGGUAACGGGUACCAACAAGCAACGGCGAGGACUAAGUGCAAACAGCCGCGGUCAACACGGAGGAAGGUGCGAACGACGUCAAGAUUCAUCAGGCCCCUUAUGUAAAGGGCUUCACGCAGGCUACAAUGGAUCGCACAGAAAGUGGCAAGCCUGGGGCUUAACCCUGAGCGAACCUCCGAAAGCCGGGCUCACUUCAGAAAGGGAGCGGAAAAUCGAACUCAUGAAGUCGGAGUCGCUAGAAAGCGCAGAUAUCAGGAGCAACACCAGCGGCGAAGACGGUUCCCGGGGCCUGUACACACCGCCCGCCAAGUCAUGAAAGUUGGUAACACCCGAAGC
RNAcentral lists this ribosomal RNA (686 nucleotides) under bacterium Met4. Its description in RNAcentral is "bacterial SSU rRNA". It matches the Rfam family "Bacterial small subunit ribosomal RNA", at positions 765 to 1427 of the family's 1533-position model. The record is from RNAcentral.